This 46-nucleotide ribosomal RNA is filed under the name Rhizophagus intraradices. RNAcentral's name for it is "partial 28S ribosomal RNA". The record is from RNAcentral. Lineage: Eukaryota; Fungi; Glomeromycota; Glomeromycetes; Glomerales; Glomeraceae. RNAcentral also lists the same sequence under 1 other name.
UGACCUCAAAUCAGGUAGGAACACCCGCUGAACUUAAGCAUAUCAA